GCAUCGCAGGAUGGUUACCCGAAAUAAAAGGCAAGCGAAAAAGAGCAAAGGUCACGGCAGCGAGCAAGCAGUUUGGCUGGGGGACUGCCCCGAUCCCAGCCGAGGCGUCGGAACCGCAUGAAGCUUAACGAGAUUUCUGAAUUGUCUACCCUUCUGUUGAAUGCUUGAGACAAUUUACAAUGAAUUGACAAAAUUAAGAAAGGGAGAAGCUAAGAGAAUCCAGAAAACCAGGCUUCCCAGACAGCUGUACCAAAGCGUGAUUCACUAGUCUUUGGAGAGAAAAACAGCCGUUCAUUCAGUGGCCAUUUGAAAUUACAACAAUGCUGAGCGAAUGGUAGUCACAACUGGUCCUCAACAUUGCAGCCAUUGCAGCGUCCCUGUGGCCACACAAUCAAAAUUCAGGAACUAUAGUGUCUUCAGGAAGUACAAGAGGAUCGAGAUGAGAUGUUAUAGUGGUGCUUUUUCUGUUGACAUGCUUUUCUGACGAACACGUGUCAUUUCCAGAUUCUAAGAAAGCAGCUUCCCAGGAAGACACCUGAAACAACAACUGCCUUCACUUCACUCUAUAUCUUUGGUGAAAGCCACAAAUCCACUCCUCUCCUUUUAUAUCCCUCUCAUUUAUCAAGUCGGUUUUGUGUUUUGCUUUGUUUUCAUUCCUCUACGCCAGAACAAAUCUCAGCCAGAGGCAGGUGCCAGGAAGUGCUGUAAUCAGAGGAAUGUGUUUCUAUCUUUAGUUCUUUUAACUGCAAGGAGAAUUGCUGUGUUAUUUUAUUUAAAUAAACACAACCUUUUAUUGGAAA
This is a long non-coding RNA of Pantherophis guttatus, 800 nucleotides long. RefSeq lists it as uncharacterized. The record is from RefSeq and is a predicted model, not a curated record. NCBI's taxonomy places the organism in Eukaryota, Metazoa, Chordata, Lepidosauria, Squamata, Colubridae.